Long non-coding RNA from Drosophila montana, 703 nucleotides. RefSeq lists it as uncharacterized. The record is from RefSeq and is a predicted model, not a curated record. The transcript is spliced from 3 exons. Lineage: Eukaryota; Metazoa; Arthropoda; Insecta; Diptera; Drosophilidae.
CGGGCAGCGAGUUUCUAUGUUUAUUAAUAAAAAGGCAGCAGAAAAUAUAAAUGCACCAGCAUCACAUACAGAUCUAAAUCAGUGUUGUGAUUCAGGGAUCUGGAGUAUUUAUAUUGCACAAUCAAAAACAAAAACAAAGCAUUUUGGCGCUGAUCCUCGCGCAGCACCUCAUCAUAGAGAUUUGCAAAUAGACGAAUUUCCUGUUCCGUGCACAAAGUCAGGGGUCCUGAGAUCUCCAUCAUGAUGGGUAGGUUCUGGUGCCGGCAUGGCUGCUGGGACAACAUGCGGAUCUGGAUCUGUUGUGCUGUCAUUGGAUGCUUCAGCUGGAUCGCCAGCGCUCACCUGAAACUCGCGACGACACAGCGGGCACCGAGGAUCGCCCCUCACCUGCAAAUAGCGUUCUAAACAAUCCGUGCAAAAAGAAUGGCUGCACGGCAAGCAACAAGGCCGCUGUUGCUCAUCUAAACAAAAUAUGCAUGGAUUAGGGUUAGUCUUCAUGAUAUCGCACCUUCAAGGAAAUGCACAAAAACUUAUCCAACGACACUCGCUUACAAAUCUAAAUUCGCUUUAAAGGACACCGUUGAUAGUUGAAUUACACAAAAACGCUUGAAUUCGCCUCAAGGUUUUCAAUUUACAAAAGGCUAGCAAAAGCGACUUAAGAGGCACUGCCUACUUAUUAAAAUACAUUUAACAAUAACAAGAA